This 1495-nucleotide long non-coding RNA is filed under the name Rosa chinensis. RNAcentral's name for it is "sRNA RchiOBHm_Chr5g0027991". Lineage: Eukaryota; Viridiplantae; Streptophyta; Magnoliopsida; Rosales; Rosaceae. The record is from RNAcentral.
CGCCAGUCCCUACCUCCGCCCCGCUGGCCCAAACCUCCACCGCCAAGUAUCUCCGCCAGCUACACCACCGCUGGACAACUCGCCACACCCAGAAAACUUCUCUGGGCACCCAUGGCCAUUCUUCGAUCAUCAACACCGGCGGCACACCACCGCUAGCUAUGCCCAGCGGUCAGCAACUCCAACAUCGCCCCAUCAACCGCUCCGCCAGCUAAGUGCUCCACUCCCGCCAGCCUCACGACCGCUUGGCAGCAUCGCUGACCCAAGCACCGCUGGCCAUGCUCAACUGAACUUCACUGCCAAGCGGCUCCGCUGUACUGUUCACCCUGAGCGAGUUUCCGCUGAGCUAGUCUCCACCGAGUUUCGCCGAGCCAAGCUUCCGCCGCUCAGCGAUAUGCUCCAUCAGCGGCAAAAUUCCUCCGCUAAAGCUCCGUCAGCGGCACCCGCAAGUUUUCUCCGCUAGACAGCAUCAGAGAAUCACCAAGAACACCCAACCAUCAUUUCGCCCAGGGCCUCCGCCAGCCAUUUACUCUGGACACCCAGGUGCUGCCGUCGUUGGGUUGCACCGCUAGGUCCCACGCUGCUCACGAGCCUCGGGCCUCCGAUACGCUCCACGUCUCCGCUGACCAUACUUCGGCGGCACCGCACCGCUGACCAUCCUUUAGCACCCGCUAACACCCAUCGUUAUCCAUCAACCUCUGCUCAGUGAGGCCAUCCAUCAGCGGCAAACCUCCCGCUCACCUUCAUCUAACGGUCUCGUCGAAUCAUUCAUCUGCAAUCUCCUUAAGCAUCCGGCUAACGUUCAGCGGCCAGCCCAGCAUCCUCCGCUAGCAAGGCUCUGCCGCCAGUGAGACCUUCCGCCGACUUCUCCUCCGCUGAACAGUUCCCCCAUGCUCCAAGAGCACCGCUGACCAUAGCUCCGCUCCGCUAGCCAAACCUUCCUCCGCUGGUCACCUAAGCUAGCUAAAGCUUCCUCCGCUAGCCAAAGCUCCACCGCUGGCUAAAGACCUCUACCAGACCACACACCGCCAUACUGUACACCGCCAGACCGCACACAACAUAUCGCGGUCAUCACCUCUUCCUCGGCUUUGGCUCUUGGUCAACGCCAAAGAACAGCAAGCUUUAACAUCAGUCCCCUCAUCGCUUGGUCACGACCUCCCGUCAGUCUCUGCUCAUGGCUCUUAGUGAUCAAUUCCACCAGAAGGCUCUGGACUACAAAAAAUCACUCCAGCGAUAAUACAGUGCUCGCUCAUAACACAGCAGUACAGCAGCAGCUCGUUAACACCUGCCAAAACUCAUUAACCGCCAGCAGCAAUAUUGAAUUUGGACCAUGACGGUAGCUCAAGACCAUCCCCCAAAGCUUAUGCCCGCGUUGGAGCCAUAACCAACUUCCAGCUAAUAAUUCCAACACCGGUUGUGGACACUCACCUUGCUUGCAGGAAGACCGGCAAGUUAAGUCUUUCUUACACUAUUGAUACGAACACCGAACAUCAUAUAC